Molecule: long non-coding RNA, 527 nt
Filed under: Homo sapiens (human)
Lineage: Eukaryota; Metazoa; Chordata; Mammalia; Primates; Hominidae
Description: non-protein coding lnc-RIBC1-5:1
Source: RNAcentral
GUUCCACCAUGGCCUGUGGCCCAGGGACUGCUUCGAAACUACUGGGAGCGACUACUGCGGAAGCUUCCACAGAGCCUGCCGGGCUUUCCUAGUUCUCCGUGGGGACCAGCAUUAGCAGUACAGGGCCCAGCCAUAUUUACAGAGCCAGCAAAUGAUACCAGUGGAAGUAAAGAGAAUUCCAGCCUUUUGUAUAGUAUCUUUUGGAUUGAAGCUCCCAAAAACAGACGCACCAUUGAAGUUAACCUGUGUAGGAGAAGAAACCCUCAGAAGCUUAUUAAAGUUAAGAACAGUACCUGAAUGUGGUCACCUGAAACAGAAAUAUGUCCUUUGUGGCUACUGCUAUGAGAAAGUGCGCAAGGAGACUGCAGAAAUCAGACGACAGACGGAAACAAGAAGGGAGGCGUUUUAAGGCUCCCACCAUAGAGACUAUGGUGCUGUACACAGGAGAGACGCCGUCUGAACAAGAUCAGGGCAAGAGGAUGAUUGAACGAGACAGAAAGUGACCAUCUUGGUUCACCCAGAAUUGA